CCACCUGGUCCAUUGGCAAAGCAAAAUCCAUCCCCAUUGUAUUGAGCUUUGCAAUCCGCUGCACAAUAUGGAAUGACACAACCUUUGUUAUCAAGUAUAGUUGUGCAUGUCUUUUUCCCAUUCACUUCAACAACUGCACCCAACACAACUGCAGAAAACAAGCUUCCACAUUUAAAUAUAUAUUUAUCCAAUAAAAUAAAUUUAUUAAGUUUAUUCCAAUAAAAAUACUGCAAUGUAUACCUGAUAGAAGAAGGAAAAGAACUAGAGAAAGUUUAGCCAUUAUACUUAAUUCACCCUUUC
RNAcentral lists this long non-coding RNA (300 nucleotides) under Salvia miltiorrhiza (redroot sage). Its description in RNAcentral is "long non-coding RNA (SMIL_LNC010448)". Lineage: Eukaryota; Viridiplantae; Streptophyta; Magnoliopsida; Lamiales; Lamiaceae. The record is from RNAcentral.